This 749-nucleotide ribosomal RNA is filed under the name Escherichia coli. Its description in RNAcentral is "partial 23S ribosomal RNA". It matches the Rfam family "Bacterial large subunit ribosomal RNA", at positions 614 to 1363 of the family's 2925-position model. The record is from RNAcentral. Lineage: Bacteria; Pseudomonadati; Pseudomonadota; Gammaproteobacteria; Enterobacterales; Enterobacteriaceae.
AAUGGGUCAGCGACUUAUAUUCUGUAGCAAGGUUAACCGAAUAGGGGAGCCGAAGGGAAACCGAGUCUUAACUGGGCGUUAAGUUGCAGGGUAUAGACCCGAAACCCGGUGAUCUAGCCAUGGGCAGGUUGAAGGUUGGGUAACACUAACUGGAGGACCGAACCGACUAAUGUUGAAAAAUUAGCGGAUGACUUGUGGCUGGGGGUGAAAGGCCAAUCAAACCGGGAGAUAGCUGGUUCUCCCCGAAAGCUAUUUAGGUAGCGCCUCGUGAAUUCAUCUCCGGGGGUAGAGCACUGUUUCGGCAAGGGGGUCAUCCCGACUUACCAACCCGAUGCAAACUGCGAAUACCGGAGAAUGUUAUCACGGGAGACACACGGCGGGUGCUAACGUCCGUCGUGAAGAGGGAAACAACCCAGACCGCCAGCUAAGGUCCCAAAGUCAUGGUUAAGUGGGAAACGAUGUGGGAAGGCCCAGACAGCCAGGAUGUUGGCUUAGAAGCAGCCAUCAUUUAAAGAAAGCGUAAUAGCUCACUGGUCGAGUCGGCCUGCGCGGAAGAUGUAACGGGGCUAAACCAUGCACCGAAGCUGCGGCAGCGACACUAUGUGUUGUUGGGUAGGGGAGCGUUCUGUAAGCCUGUGAAGGUGGCCUGUGAGGGUUGCUGGAGGUAUCAGAAGUGCGAAUGCUGACAUAAGUAACGAUAAAGCGGGUGAAAAGCCCGCUCGCCGGAAGACCAAGGGUUCCUGUCCAAC